Molecule: long non-coding RNA, 652 nt
Filed under: Homo sapiens (human)
Lineage: Eukaryota; Metazoa; Chordata; Mammalia; Primates; Hominidae
Description: HSALNT0339981
Source: RNAcentral
CUGGAAGUACUACAGGCAUAGAGGGAAGAGUACCUGUGUCUGUAACAACGUAAAAGGUCACAAGCUUCUGCUUUGCCAGUCUAGGUUCUGGAGGCCAGGAAGUCCAACAUGAAGGUGACAGCAGAUCCAGUGUCUGUACUUACACCUGGAGAGUUGGACUACUGGGUCGGAGUUGAAGAAAAUUUUACUUUUAAUUUUAUAACCUUUCCCAUUUUUUACCAUGAGCAUGUAACUUUUGUAACUACUUUUAUAAUAAAAUGAAAUAAAUGAAGUGGCACAGUGAAAUUUAAUAUAUGCUAUGUGAAUGAAUAAUAAACUAGGUAAGUUUCAUCAAAUGGGCAUAUGGGAAUAAAAGCCAGUUCUAAAGCAAUUACAAAGUAAUGCUGCUGAUAAAAGUGGACUGUGUAAAGGUAAACAGUGUCACAGCAACCAUUACACAUUGCAGGUUGACUCUCCAAUAUUCUUUCCCGUAGAUCCGAGGUCAAGUUUCAAACUGUCUAAACUAAUACAUGGUAAUGGCAUCCUUCUGCCAAAUGACUGGUUCAGGAGCUGCCAGCCCUAAGUUAAAGUUCUGGAAAUGCUGUGGAAAAUCUGAAAAUGUAAUGGGGAAUAAACAAGAGAUUAAUGAAAGCAUUGUAUCUAAUCAGCAAAC